GAUGAACGCUGGCGGCGUGCCUAAUACAUGCAAGUCGAGCGAACAGAUGAGGAGCUUGCUCCUCUGACGUUAGCGGCGGACGGGUGAGUAACACGUGGAUAACCUACCUAUAAGACUGGGAUAACUUCGGGAAACCGGAGCUAAUACCGGAUAAUAUAUUGAACCGCAUGGUUCAAUAGUGAAAGACGGUUUUGCUGUCACUUAUAGAUGGAUCCGCGCCGCAUUAGCUAGUUGGUAAGGUAACGGCUUACCAAGGCAACGAUGCGUAGCCGACCGGAGAGGGUGAUCGGCCACACGGGAACUGAGACACGGUCCAGGCUCCUACGGGAGGCAGCAGUAGGGAAUCUUCCGCAGUGGGCGAAAGCCUGACGGAGCAACGCCGCGUGAGUGAUGAAGGUCUUCGGAUCGUAAAACUCUGUUAUUAGGGAAGAACAAAUGUGUAAGUAGCUAUGCACGGCUUGACGGUACCUAAUCAGAAAGCCACGGCUAACUACGUG
RNAcentral lists this ribosomal RNA (497 nucleotides) under uncultured bacterium. RNAcentral describes it as "partial 16S ribosomal RNA". It matches the Rfam family "Bacterial small subunit ribosomal RNA", at positions 28 to 507 of the family's 1533-position model. The record is from RNAcentral.